RNAcentral lists this ribosomal RNA (511 nucleotides) under Lamellibrachia sp. 1 VT-2012. RNAcentral's name for it is "partial 16S ribosomal RNA". It matches the Rfam family "Bacterial large subunit ribosomal RNA", at positions 1819 to 2597 of the family's 2925-position model. Lineage: Eukaryota; Metazoa; Annelida; Polychaeta; Sabellida; Siboglinidae. The record is from RNAcentral.
UGCCUCUCGACUCAACAAUGAGAGGUUCAUCCUGCCCAAUGACAACAUAGUUUAAUGGCCGCGGUACCCUGACCGUGCAAAGGUAGCAUAAUCAUUUGCCCCUUAAUUAGGGGCUAGCAUGAAAGGACACACGAAAGCUUCCCUGUCUCACAAUAACAAAUAAAAAUUAAUCUUCAAGUGAAAAAGCUUGAAUGAAACUGCAGGACAAGAAGACCCCGUUGAGCUUUAUUCUCUAUAGACUAAAUCAAAUAUUAAAUAUAUCAUAAACCUAAAAAGAAUUUAGUUGGGGUGACUAAGGAACACCAAAAACUUCCUUUUAUUAAUUAGGAUUAUUCUCCAUAUAAAUUGACCCAUUACAUAUGAUCAAAAAAAUAAGCUACCACAGGGAUAACAGGCUAAUCUUUCUCAAGAGCCCAAAUUGUCAGAAAGGAUUGGCACCUCGAUGUUGGCUUAGGGGCCCCUAAUGGUGCAGAAGCCAUAAAUGGUAGGUUUGUUCAACCUUUAAAACCCU